GAUGAACGCUGGCGACGUGCCUAAUACAUGCAAGUCGAGCGAACAGACGAGGAGCUUGCUCCUCUGACGUUAGCGGCGGACGGGUGAGUAACACGUGGAUAACCUACCUAUAAGACUGGGAUAACUUCGGGAAACCGGAGCUAAUACCGGAUAACAUGUUGAACCGCAUGGUUCAACAGUGAAAGACGGUCUUGCUGUCACUUAUAGAUGGAUCCGCGCCGCAUUAGCUAGUUGGUAAGGUAACGGCUUACCAAGGCAACGAUGCGUAGCCGACCUGAGAGGGGGAUCGGCCACACUGGAACUGAGACACGGUCCAGACUCCUACGGGAGGCAGCAGUAGGGAAUCUUCCGCAAUGGGCGAAAGCCUGACGGAGCAACGCCGCGUGAGUGAAGAAGGUCUUCGGUUCGUAAAACUCUGUUAUUAGGGAAGAACAAAUGUGUAAGUAACUAUGCACGUCUUGACGGUACCUAAGCAGAAAGCCACGGCUAACUACGU
This 496-nucleotide ribosomal RNA is filed under the name uncultured bacterium. Its description in RNAcentral is "partial 16S ribosomal RNA". It matches the Rfam family "Bacterial small subunit ribosomal RNA", at positions 28 to 506 of the family's 1533-position model. The record is from RNAcentral.